GCGCCAUUAGCUCAGUUGGUUAGAGCAGCUGACUCUUAAUCAGCGGGUCCGGGGUUCGAGUCCCUGAUGGCGCACCC
This 77-nucleotide transfer RNA is filed under the name Brachybacterium faecium. RNAcentral's name for it is "tRNA-Lys". It matches the Rfam family "tRNA". Rfam says of the family: Transfer RNA (tRNA) molecules are approximately 80 nucleotides in length. The record is from RNAcentral. Lineage: Bacteria; Bacillati; Actinomycetota; Actinomycetes; Micrococcales; Dermabacteraceae. RNAcentral also lists the same sequence under 10 other names.